GGGCUUGUGGUCUAGUGGAUACGACGUCCGCCUCCGAUUUCUGAGGUAGCGGAAGGUCCCAGGUUCGAUCCCUGGCUGGCUCG
Non-coding RNA from Blyttiomyces helicus, 83 nucleotides. NCBI's taxonomy places the organism in Eukaryota, Fungi, Chytridiomycota, Chytridiomycetes. The record is from the annotation of a GenBank genome assembly.